AUAUUCUGUAGCAAGGUUAACCGAAUAGGGGAGCCGGAGGGAAACCGAGUCUUAACCGGGCGUUAAGUUGCAGGGUAUAGACCCGAAACCCGGUGAUCUAGCCAUGGGCAGGUUGAAGGUUGGGUAACACUAACUGGAGGACCGAACCGACUAAUGUUGAAAAAUUAGCGGAUGACCUGUGGCUGGGGGUGAAAGGCCAAUCAAACCGGGAGAUAGCUGGUUCUCCCCGAAAGCUAUUUAGGUAGCGCCUCGUGAAUUCAUCUCCGGGGGUAGAGCACUGUUUCGGCUAGGGGGCCAUCCCGGCUUACCAACCCGAUGCAAACUGCGAAUACCGGAGAAUGUUAUCACGGGAGACACACGGCGGGUGCUAACGUCCGUCGUGAAGAGGGAAACAACCCAGACCGCCAGCUAAGGUCCCAAAGUCAUGGUUAAGUGGGAAACGAUGUGGGAAGGCCCAGACAGCCAGGAUGUUGGCUUAGAAGCAGCCAUCAUUUAAAGAAAGCGUAAUAGCUCACUGGUCGAGUCGGCCUGCGCGGAAGAUGUAACGGGGCUAAACCAUGCACCGAAGCUGCGGCAGCGACACUGUGUGUUGUUGGGUAGGGGAGCGUUCUGUAAGCCUGUGAAGGUGUGUCGUGAGGCAUGCUGGAGGUAUCAGAAGUGCGAAUGCUGACAUAAGUAACGAUAAAGCGGGUGAAAAGCCCGCUCGCCGGAAGACCAAGGGUUCCUGUCCAACGUUAAUCGGGGCAGGGUGAGUCGACCCCUAAGGCGAGGCCGAAAGGCGUAGUCGAUGGGAAACGGGUUAAUAUUCCCGUACUUGGUGUUACUGCGAAGGGGGGACGGAGAAGGCUAUGUUGGCCGGGCGACGGUUGUCCCGGUUUAAGCGUGUAGGUGUGUGUUCCAGGUAAAUCCGGUUCACUUUAACACUGAGGCGUGACGACGAGGCACUACGGUGCUGAAGCAACAAAUGCCCUGCUUCCAGGAAAAGCCUCUAAGCAUCAGGUAACAUCAAAUCGUACCCCAAACCGACACAGGUGGUCAGGUAGAGAAUACCAAGGCGCUUGAGAGAACUCGGGUGAAGGAACUAGGCAAAAUGGUGCCGUAACUUCGGGAGAAGGCACGCUGACACGUAGGUGAAGUGAUUUACUCAUGGAGCUGAAGUCAGUCGAAGAUACCAGCUGGCUGCAACUGUUUAUUAAAAACACAGCACUGUGCAAACACGAAAGUGGACGUAUACGGUGUGACGCCUGCCCGGUGCCGGAAGGUUAAUUGAUGGGGUCAGCGCAAGCGAAGCUCCUGAUCGAAGCCCCGGUAAACGGCGGCCGUAACUAUAACGGUCCUAAGGUAGCGAAAUUCCUUGUCGGGUAAGUUCCGACCUGCACGAAUGGCGUAAUGAUGGCCAGGCUGUCUCCACCCGAGACUCAGUGAAAUUGAACUCGCUGUGAAGAUGCAGUGUACCCGCGGCAAGACGGAAAGACCCCGUGAACCUUUACUAUAGCUUGACACUGAACAUUGAGCCUUGAUGUGUAGGAUAGGUGGGAGGCUUUGAAGUGUGGACGCCAGUCUGCAUGGAGCCGACCUUGAAAUACCACCCUUUAAUGUUUGAUGUUCUAACGUGGACCCGUUACCCGGGUUGCGGACAGUGUCUGGUGGGUAGUUUGACUGGGGCGGUCUCCUCCUAAAGAGUAACGGAGGAGCACGAAGGUUGGCUAAUCCUGGUCGGACAUCAGGAGGUUAGUGCAAUGGCAUAAGCCAGCUUGACUGCGAGCGUGACGGCGCGAGCAGGUGCGAAAGCAGGUCAUAGUGAUCCGGUGGUUCUGAAUGGAAGGGCCAUCGCUCAACGGAUAAAAGGUACUCCGGGGAUAACAGGCUGAUACCGCCCAAGAGUUCAUAUCGACGGCGGUGUUUGGCACCUCGAUGUCGGCUCAUCACAUCCUGGGGCUGAAGUAGGUCCCAAGGGUAUGGCUGUUCGCCAUUUAAAGUGGUACGCGAGCUGGGUUUAGAACGUCGUGAGACAGUUCGGUCCCUAUCUGCCGUGGGCGCUGGAGAACUGAGGGGGGCUGCUCCUAGUACGAGAGGACCGGAGUGGACGCAUCACUGGUGUUCGGGUUGUCAUGCCAAUGGCACUGCCCGGUAGCUAAAUGCGGAAGAGAUAAGUGCUGAAAGCAUCUAAGCACGAAACUUGCCCCGAGAUGAGUUCUCCC
This 2201-nucleotide ribosomal RNA is filed under the name Salmonella enterica subsp. enterica serovar Enteritidis. Its description in RNAcentral is "partial 23S ribosomal RNA". It matches the Rfam family "Bacterial large subunit ribosomal RNA", at positions 630 to 2815 of the family's 2925-position model. The record is from RNAcentral. Lineage: Bacteria; Pseudomonadati; Pseudomonadota; Gammaproteobacteria; Enterobacterales; Enterobacteriaceae.